UACGGAGGGAGCUAGCGUUAUUCGGAAUUACUGGGCGUAAAGCGCACGUAGGCGGCUUUGUAAGUUAGAGGUGAAAGCCUGGAGCUCAACUCCAGAAUUGCCUUUAAGACUGCAUCGCUUGAAUCCAGGAGAGGUGAGUGGAAUUCCGAGUGUAGAGGUGAAAUUCGUAGAUAUUCGGAAGAACACCAGUGGCGAAGGCGGCUCACUGGACUGGUAUUGACGCUGAGGUGCGAAAGCGUGGGGAGCAAACAGGAUUAGAUACC
RNAcentral lists this ribosomal RNA (263 nucleotides) under uncultured bacterium. RNAcentral's name for it is "partial 16S ribosomal RNA". It matches the Rfam family "Bacterial small subunit ribosomal RNA", at positions 524 to 786 of the family's 1533-position model. The record is from RNAcentral.